Esox lucius (northern pike) is the source of this 1103-nucleotide long non-coding RNA. The record is from Ensembl. NCBI's taxonomy places the organism in Eukaryota, Metazoa, Chordata, Actinopteri, Esociformes, Esocidae.
GUUGGUGAGAGGCUGGCUGGCUGAAAGAGCUGGUACCGGGAGAGCAUUAGGCAGAGAUUAGUGGUGUUUGUGGUGCGCCGUGGCGUGCCACCCCCGGCCCCCCAGCGGCGUGGUGCUCCGGUGGCAGCCGACCGUAACCUCUGGUGCCAGGGAUCAGAACCGUGCUGGGCGGACCGGGUGUGUUACAGCCCUGCUGAAGGGGUGGCCGCCGUGGGGCGCAACCAUGUGCUGGCUUCGGUACCGCAGCGGCACCGGCCUCGAUUAGAGAGCUUUGCAGUUAACUUCCGAAACAGUAGGUACCUACCCCGUGGUCCCGUUGAGUGACAACAUUUUAUUUUCAACCGUUCCGCGCGCUACCUCCAAAAUGGUCAGAGAAGAACCAGAAGACAUUUCCUGUCUGGAAAGUUCCUAAGUGUUGUUUUUUUACCAAGUGCUCAUGAGUGAAAUCUGCCUCUUAAGCAGGAGGUUCGUAGAGGUCUUAUAACAAAUGUGUUCUGCUGAUCCAUGGUCCACGUGGCUCACAGGUCGCCACAACCAGCUGCAUCGCGUUACCUCUAAAGAUGGUUGAUUUAAGAAAAAUUGGAGCAAUUUAAUGGACUAAAGAAGGCAGAGGAGUGUUUCCGACAAGCCAAGGAAAAAGCUACCUACAGUGUGAAACCCAAGCAUGCAUCGGGGAUUAAAGCCAAGCUGGGCAUGAAGAUAUGAGACUGUUGUUUUCCUGAAUUCCUCGCCAGGAGAGAGAGAGAGAACGUGAUGUAAUGGUUGGUGAACAACAAAGCCAAGUUGGAGAGCAUGUGUUGCUGCAGACAAAGCACUAAGGCUUAAAAACUAAAACAAUAUGCCUCAUAAUAGGCAAACUUUUUGAAAUAGGGCACUACUUUUGACCUGGAUCUGUAGGGCUCUGGUUGAAAGUAGGCCACUAUUUCAGAGACAGGGUUCCAUUUGGGGCGUUGAAGACAUUUCACAUUUUACCCCAAACAAGAGUCAGCCUCCUGUUGGCUAGCCUGCUCUGUGAAUCUGCUUGCUCAACAGUCUUCUACCAUAUAUCACCCCCCCCCGCCUCAAUAUCCCAUCACGAAGAGGAGAGAAAUGUCAAUGGGUCA